RNAcentral lists this long non-coding RNA (479 nucleotides) under Dasypus novemcinctus (nine-banded armadillo). RNAcentral describes it as "lncRNA (ENSDNOG00000051920.1)". The record is from RNAcentral. Lineage: Eukaryota; Metazoa; Chordata; Mammalia; Cingulata; Dasypodidae.
GCCCGGGAAUGUCGCGGCGCCCGCGCCCGCCCCGCCCCCGCAGGAAGCGCCCCCGCGCUCUCCUGGGUGGAGCCGUCCUCGAGCCUCGCUCUCCGGGGCGCCCCGUGUGCCCGAAACGCGCCCCGGCUGUACAUCGCGGGUGGCGCGCUCCGUCUCCGGUGGAAGAAGCUGGAACGCCCUGCCACCCGCGCCCGCAGCGGCACAGGCGCCCUGGAGGAAGACGAGUUUCCUCAAAGGGGCCCAAGCUUCUGGUGGAAUCCAGACAGCUCCACAUCCACUGGGCAGGACAGAACAACCCAGGGACUGGUAUUUCUUGGACACUGAUGAAUGCCAAGUCCAAAGAGCUCCAGCCUGCAGGUGACCCUGUCUACCCAUCCCAAGUCUCCAGGCUCCAGCCCUCGCCAGCAGGUGCACAACAUACAGGCAUGCGCCAGGUGAUCCUGGCCAGAUCUGCAGAGGACAUACAGAGUUGGCCAUGA